GACGAACGCUGGCGGCGUGCCUAAUACAUGCAAGUCGAGCGGACGAAUCGAAAGCUUGCUUUUGAUUCGUUAGCGGCGGACGGGUGAGUAACACGUGGGCAACCUGCCCUGUAGACGGGGAUAACACCGAGAAAUCGGUGCUAAUACCGGAUAACACGAAAUGUCGCAUGACGUUUCGUUGAAAGACGGCGCAAGCUGCCGCUACAGGAUGGGCCCGCGGCGCAUUAGCUAGUUGGUGAGGUAACGGCUCACCAAGGCGACGAUACGUAGCCGACCUGAGAGGGUGAUCGGCCACGCUGGGACUGAGACACGGCCCAGACUCCUACGGGAGGCAGCAGUAGGGAAUCUUCCGCAAUGGACGAAAGUCUGACGGAGCAACGCCGCGUGAGCGAAGAAGGCCUUCGGGUCGUAAAGCUCUGUUGUUAGGGAAGAACAAGUAACGCAGUAACUGGCGUUACCGUGACGGUACCUAACGAGAAAGCCACGGCUAACUACGUG
This 498-nucleotide ribosomal RNA is filed under the name uncultured bacterium. RNAcentral describes it as "partial 16S ribosomal RNA". It matches the Rfam family "Bacterial small subunit ribosomal RNA", at positions 28 to 507 of the family's 1533-position model. The record is from RNAcentral.